AUGAAGGCCGAGCCUCGGAAAUCUAUUUUGAGUGGAUUUGGAUGGCUUCAAGAGACUAUUGCCACCCUAGGGGAGACCUACACAAUGUUGAGAAUGACGACAAGUGUGUUCUUUGAUCUUCAUGACUUGUUGGUACGUAAUUAUGGUCUAAAAGAAACAAGCUUUGUUAGCACUUAUGAGUCUCUUGCUAUGUUCUUGUGGACAUUGGGAGGUUGUGAAUCAAAUAGAAGAACUCAAAGUCGCUUCAAACAUUCAGCGGAUAUAAUCCAUCGUAAAUUCCGUGAGGUUUUACACUAUGUAGUGAACAUGGCAUCUCACUACCUUAAGCCACAAGACCCAAACUUCCACAUUGUGCAUGAUCUAAUUAAAGAGGAUAGGAGAGCUUAUCCUUAUCUCAAAGAUUGCAUUGGUGCAAUCAAUGGGACUCAUAUAAUAGCUUAUAUUCCCGAUGGGCCACCGAAAGUUAGGUACAUUGGGAGGACAGGCAUGACAACUCAGAAUGUGAUGGCGAUAUGUGACUUCAAUAUGCACUUUACUUAUGCUUCAAUUGGGCAACCUGGUUCUAUGCAUGAUACAAAUGUGUUAUACCAUGCAAUUGAUAAAGACAGGCCCUCCUUCGCCCAUCCUCCAAAGGGCAAGUAUUACCUUGUGGAUGCCAGGUAUCGUAAUAGAGAUGGAUAUCUAGCACCAUACAAAGGAGAAAGGUAUCACGUCCCUGACUUUCAAAGAGGUGCACCUCCAAAUACUCCUAAGGAGAAGUUCAACAAGAUUCACUCCUCCAAACGCAAUUGCAUAGAGAGAACCUUUGGAGUGUGGAAAAUGAAAUGGCAAAUUCUCCUGAAGAUGCCAAACUACUCGUUUCAAACACAGAUGAAGAUUGUUGCAGCUACUAUGACAUUGCACAACUAUGUUCGCCUCCAUGACAAAGAUGAUCUCCACUUUAUUCGAUGCGAAAGAGAUCCGGAUUAUGCUCCAACAAUUCCGGAUAGAUACAAGAAGUAUGUUAUUCCUGCCAGAGCAUCGGAUGCUUCCACUUCAUAGGCAAGUGCUCACAUAGAUAGGUUCAGGAAUGAACUAGCUACCGCCAUUGCUCUUGGUUGGUGA
RNAcentral lists this ribosomal RNA (1104 nucleotides) under Triticum aestivum (bread wheat). RNAcentral's name for it is "partial small subunit ribosomal RNA". Lineage: Eukaryota; Viridiplantae; Streptophyta; Magnoliopsida; Poales; Poaceae. The record is from RNAcentral.